RNAcentral lists this ribosomal RNA (253 nucleotides) under uncultured bacterium. RNAcentral's name for it is "partial 16S ribosomal RNA". It matches the Rfam family "Bacterial small subunit ribosomal RNA", at positions 524 to 776 of the family's 1533-position model. The record is from RNAcentral.
GACGUAGGGCGCGAGCGUUGUCCGGAUUUAUUGGGCGUAAAGAGCUCGUAGGCGGCUUGUCGCGUCGUCCGUGAAAACUUGUGGCUUAACCACAGGCUGGCGGUCGAUACGGGCAGGCUGGAGUUCGGUAGGGGAGACUGGAAUUCCUGGUGUAGCGGUGAAAUGCGCAGAUAUCAGGAGGAACACCAAUAGCGAAGGCAGCUCGCUGGGACGUUACUGACACUGAGGCGCGAAAGCGUGGGGAGCGAACAGG